UACGUAGGGUGCAAGCGUUGUCCGGAAUUAUUGGGCGUAAAGAGCUCGUAGGCGGUUUGUUGCGUCGGCUGUGAAAUCCCGAGGCUCAACCUCGGGUCUGCAGUCGAUACGAGCAAACUAGAGUGUUGCAGGGGAGACUGGAAUUCCUGGUGUAGCGGUGAAAUGCGCAGAUAUCAGGAGGAACACCGGUGGCGAAGGCGGGUCUCUGGGCAGCAACUGACGCUGAGGAGCGAAAGCGUGGGAGCGAACAGG
Molecule: ribosomal RNA, 252 nt
Filed under: uncultured bacterium
Lineage: Bacteria
Description: partial 16S ribosomal RNA
Rfam family: Bacterial small subunit ribosomal RNA
Source: RNAcentral